CCUACGGGUGGCAGCAGUAGGGAAUAUUGCUCAAUGGGGGAAACCCUGAAGCAGCAAAGCAGCGUGGAGGAUGAAGGUUUUCGGAGUGUAAAAUCCUUUUGUUAGAGAAGAUAAUGACGGUAUCUAACGAAUAAGCACCGGCUAACUCCGUGCCAGCAGCCGCGGUAAUACGGCGGGUGCAAGCGUUAUACGGAUUAACUGGGCGUAAAGGGCGCGUAGGCGGGAUAGCAAGUCAGAUGUGAAAUCCUAUGGCUUAACCAUAGAACUGCAUUUGAAACUGUUAUUCUAGAGUAGAGGAGAGGUAGGUGGAAUUCUUGGUGUAGGGGUAAAAUCCUUAGAGAUCAAGAAGAAUACUCAUUGCGAAGGCGGCCUGCUAGAACAUAACUGACGCUGAUGCGCGAAAGCGUGGGGAGCAAACAGGAUUAGAUACCCGAGUAGUC
This 440-nucleotide ribosomal RNA is filed under the name uncultured bacterium. RNAcentral describes it as "partial 16S ribosomal RNA". It matches the Rfam family "Bacterial small subunit ribosomal RNA", at positions 338 to 795 of the family's 1533-position model. The record is from RNAcentral.